GGUAUCACAGCUGAUGAGCAAGCCAACAAAUUGCGCCGCUUCCAAGAGGAAGAACCCUAUAAAUCAAACGAUUUUGAUGGUUUCGAUUUGGAUUACGGUCAAAAAGUUAUUGCCUCCAUAUUAAAAUAUAAGACAAUUUUGUAGGCUAGUUUAGCCUACAAAAACAUCUUAUAUUUUGGUACAGAGGUAGUACUUGAUAGCAAUGAAAAGAAAUUGAUAAUAAUGGUGCUGUAUUUGCAGUGAAUUGAUAUUCUUUGAUGGAAGAUCAGGAAUCACUAAGAUAAUAAGGUUGUUGAGGGCUAGACUUUCUUGGAAAUUAAAGUACCUAGAGACAGGAUUAAGAAUUGUAUGCACUUGAUUUGGGUGCCGCUUUUUGUAUCAUCAUAUUGAUAUGGUUUUUAUCAUGUACCUCUAUUGUUGUGAAACAUAUUUACAUUGUUUUACCAAAUAAUAUUAGUGCUACAGGAUUGAGAAUUUGGAGCUGAUUAUGAAGCACGGUGUCUACUUGGGAGCUCCAAAAAAUAAAAUUGGAUUCAGUGACCUUCUCUUAGUGUUCUUGUAGUUUAGGCAAUAGGUAUCCACUUGAAAAUACAUCUGGGCAUUACAGUCCUAUCUCUAUUCCAUCCAAUUUCAUGAACAAAUCUAAACUCAUCCUGCUUCACGCGGCAAAAAUAAACUAUAGAAAACAGAUGUAAAGCUAGCAGAUAUACGAAAUCUGCCCUUGGUCUUCGUCUUCAUCCAUAUCCAUCUUUUUACACAAUCACGAUGAAGAUAUGCUUACCGGGAGUUCCAAAGUUGAUGGAGGCAACUCUGAACAGGGCAGAGGCACGAACUCUGUACCGCCCCUUCUGCCACAACAACAACCGCCAAUGGUCGGAGGCCUAGAUUCUUGGCCAUGCGCCGCUUCUGCUGCAUCUUGUAGUCGCCGCCCUCGCUCGGUGCUCCCCCAAGAGCAAGGUAUACACCGGUCAGAAGGAGGGCCAGAGCGCACCCAUCACCAUCCUGGUGAUGGCGCUCUGUCC
Molecule: long non-coding RNA, 1022 nt
Filed under: Triticum aestivum (bread wheat)
Lineage: Eukaryota; Viridiplantae; Streptophyta; Magnoliopsida; Poales; Poaceae
Description: long non-coding RNA (TAES_LNC025722)
Source: RNAcentral